Molecule: non-coding RNA, 97 nt
Filed under: Companilactobacillus ginsenosidimutans
Lineage: Bacteria; Bacillati; Bacillota; Bacilli; Lactobacillales; Lactobacillaceae
Description: Lactobacillus ginsenosidimutans THF-I sequence
Rfam family: THF (Tetrahydrofolate) riboswitch aptamer
About the family: THF riboswitch presents a pseudoknot that joins P1-P2 and the loop of P3 and two THF binding.
Source: RNAcentral
UUUGGGGUAGGAUUCAAAGCGUUAAGUGCUGGUGGAACGGAAUGUGAACACCGGACAAAGGGGAUGUCCCCGCGGUUUUGUUUCCGCAUUCGCCACA